This 391-nucleotide unclassified non-coding RNA is filed under the name uncultured Tomentellopsis. Its description in RNAcentral is "sequence contains ITS1". The stretch from base 1 to 105 matches the Rfam family "5.8S ribosomal RNA", at positions 50 to 154 of the family's 154-position model. Lineage: Eukaryota; Fungi; Basidiomycota; Agaricomycetes; Thelephorales; Thelephoraceae. The record is from RNAcentral.
GAAAUGCGAUAAGUAAUGUGAAUUGCAGAAUUCAGUGAAUCAUCGAAUCUUUGAACGCACCUUGCGCUCCUUGGUAUUCCGAGGAGCAUGCCUGUUUGAGUGUCAUGAAAUUCUCAACUGCUCCGAGCUUUGUUGUUCGGGGUGAAGUUGGACUUGGAGGUCUUUGCUGGCGUGGGCUUCGGCUCACUUGUCGGCUCCUCUUGAAUGCAUGAGCUUUCCAGUGGAUCUUGGCAAAGUAUCGUCGAUGUGAUAAUUAUCUACGUCGGUCGAGAAAGCCUCGAGCAGGGCUCUUAGGAGCUCCUACGGGAAAUCUUUCAUAUACAUCGGGCUUAAAACACCCGUGUCUGACAAAUUCGACCUCAAAUCAGGUAGGACUACCCGCUGAACUUAA